Molecule: ribosomal RNA, 373 nt
Filed under: uncultured organism
Description: partial 16S ribosomal RNA
Rfam family: Bacterial small subunit ribosomal RNA
Source: RNAcentral
GUAGGUGGCAAGCGUUGUCCGGAAUUAUUGGGAGUAAAGCGCGCGCAGGCGGUUCUUUAAGUCUGAUGUGAAAGCCCACGGCUCAACCGUGGAGGGUCAUUGGAAACUGGAGAACUUGAGUACAGAAGAGGAAAGCGGAAUUCCACGUGUAGCGGUGAAAUGCGUAGAGAUGUGGAGGAACACCAGUGGCGAAGGCGGCUUUCUGGUCUGUAACUGACGCUGAGGCGCGAAAGCGUGGGGAGCAAACAGGAUUAGAUACCCUGGUAGUCCACGCCGUAAACGAUGAGUGCUAAGUGUUAGGGGGUUUUCCGCCCCCCUUAGUGCUGCAGCUAACGCAUUAAGCACUCCGCCUGGGAGUACGGCCGCAAGGCUG